UGGGGAAUAUUGGACAAUGGGGGGAACCCUGAUCCAGCCAUGCCGCGUGUGUGAAGAAGGCCUUAUGGUUGUAAAGCACUUUAAGCGAGGAGGAGGGUACUGGUAUUAAUACUACCAGCUACUGGACGUUACUCGCAGAAUAAGCACCGGCUAACUCUGUGCCAGCAGCCGCGGUAAUACAGAGGGUGCGAGCGUUAAUCGGAUUUACUGGGCGUAAAGCGUGCGUAGGCGGCUAAUUGAGUCGGAUGUGAAAUCCCCGAGCUUAACUUGGGAAUUGCAUUCGAUACUGGUUAGCUAGAGUGUGGGAGAGGAUGGUAGAAUCCCAGGUGUAGCGGUGAAAUGCGUAGAGAUCUGGAGGAAUACCGAUGGCGAAGGCAGCCAUCUGGCCUAACACUGACGCUGAGGUACGAAAGCAUGGGGAGCAAACAGG
RNAcentral lists this ribosomal RNA (430 nucleotides) under Pseudomonadota bacterium. RNAcentral's name for it is "Proteobacteria bacterium partial 16S ribosomal RNA". It matches the Rfam family "Bacterial small subunit ribosomal RNA", at positions 355 to 776 of the family's 1533-position model. The record is from RNAcentral. Lineage: Bacteria; Pseudomonadati; Pseudomonadota.